Molecule: long non-coding RNA, 2138 nt
Organism: Lolium rigidum
Lineage: Eukaryota; Viridiplantae; Streptophyta; Magnoliopsida; Poales; Poaceae
Exons: 3
Source: RefSeq, a predicted model, not a curated record
UGCUCGCUCACGUGGCACGAGCGAGAGGAUCUCGUCACGGUGUCGGAAUUGCUAUGGAGAGGUACGCAGGAGGAGCUGGUGGUCUUCGCCCUCCCCGGUAACCCUAGAACUUGCGGCGCCACCCCUAUAUCUUUGGCACCAGUACCCGCCGCCGGUGCAUCCCGAUAACCCGUAUAGAUCCCUUGCCUACGCUGCUACCCCUAUGGUCUCUGUUCCUACCCUGCAUCUCUCCUACCGGGAGGUGCGCAUGAGGACGGCUUGGUUUCCCUUUCAGCGGCACCUUCUUGAGGAGAUGUGGAGCCAGCCGGAAUUGGAUGUGCCGACACGCUACUCCAACCUGCUGGCCAUGAUACAAAAACAGGUCAACAAUGAGGUCAGUAAGAGGUUGGCGCACUUGACCGUCUGACGCUCGCCAGCUCCCACCCCACCUCCUCUUGCAUCCACGCCCUCGCUUUCUCAACCAAGCCAGCAGCCAGCAACUGCAUGCAUGCCAUCUAUUUGAAAAAAUGCAGAAGAGACGAAUUUAAUUUGCACAUUUUCAAGCCAUGAGCCCAGCUCUCCGUGAAUUUUGCUCUGUUUCUCCAUGUCAUGUACCUCAUGUGAUCACCUUGAUAUGUGUGUGUGUUUCCUGUGGCCUCCUCAUGGGCUGUUAUGUGAUGCUUGUAUUUUCAGUUUCAUACGAAAUGAAGGAGGAAUGGUGACAAAUAAGAGCGAACACCUCCAUCCAAGUGAUUUUGAUCUAUUGCCAUGCUGCUCGAUUUCUAAAUCUGUAGCUACGAGUGUUACUUCUGAAGUCUGACAUUGCAGAUUACAUUGUUAUUCAUAUUUUUUGUGCUUUCGGCUUCCUCCCGUCAAGAUGAAAGGUUGCAGUUCGGCAAGAAUCUGCUCUUUCUCAUGGUGGCGUUUGGCUAGGAUUCAGGAACAAAUGGAACUAGGCACACUUUGCAUCUGGGCGACACUAAGGUGCUAGCCACACACAUCGUUUAAGCACAUGACGCGAGAGGCGAAAUGUAUACUUAGAUUGCUUAAUAUUACAACUGAAAUUAUUGAGCUGGUUUCAUAUCCCACAUUUAUGUGAGUUCUCUGUAACUGAGCAGCUGAGAACUACUUUCACUUCAAAUCCAAAUACCUAAUCUAAUUCUAAAUUGGCAAAACCCAUUUCAGCGUUCUUGUUCAGUAUUGUCAUCGAAAAGGUUAAAGUGCGCCUUUUUAACAUCCCAUUAUCAAAAAGAAUAUUAUUACUGAUUUUUACAGAUAUUCCCCAUGAAUAGACUAGACUUAUUUAGUAUGAUGUGACAUCUUAAAAGAUGGGACUGUACCUAUUUUACUACUUCCAUUUGCAUGCGAUCCAGGGUGAGAGCAUCGGUCAUGGAUGCCCACCGUUCAUGUAUAUGUGCAUUCAUGGGUCAGAUCAUACUUAAAAUUUGCAGGCUAACAAUAUUAUUCAAUAUAGUACUAUUCUGGCAUAUGCAUCUAUGCAUCGUUCUUGGCUGACUUUAUUCUCUUAAAAGCUCGACCAUGUUAUGUUGUACAUUAUCUAUGCAAUCUUCAGUUAUGUUUUCUUUACCUGACACUAACCACACAAUCAUCAUUGUCCAACAUGUUUUUUUCCCUUAAUUCAUUCAGAAUAGCCUACGACGGUUUUUAGUAUGGAGGGAGGCAUGCAUCGUGAAGUUCUUCGGCUGAACUGUGAGGGUGUGUGGAUGGUUGCAAUGAGAUUGUCCAGCAAGUGCGUCCGCGUCCAUCAGAGGCAUAAGUCUAUGUACUCGUUCGGAAAAUUAAGCCGAAGAUGUGAUGAACUGGAAUGCGUGCAGAGGAAUUGGGUGCACCGCAGCUCGAGACAAUAAGGAUGCAUCAUGGUCAAGCCUACAAUCUGGUCAUUGUCUUGCCACCUACAGGGGUGGAGUGACGUCUUGCUUAGGAGCAGACGUUUGUAGCGGCACAUAUGUGUUGACGCAUGAAUACACCACAAAGUAUAUUUUUAUCAGAAUCUAUAUCUAUAUAUAUGUUUGUUGUUUGCUUAGCAACACACAUGUCACUUAAGAUGGAGAAAUUAAUGUUUGUGGCUACAUGGUGGAAAUUGACAGGUGCGCCAUUCUUGAUAUUCAUGGUUGCUAAGUAAACAACUAUUUAAGCAA